RNAcentral lists this ribosomal RNA (501 nucleotides) under Triticum aestivum (bread wheat). RNAcentral's name for it is "partial small subunit ribosomal RNA". Lineage: Eukaryota; Viridiplantae; Streptophyta; Magnoliopsida; Poales; Poaceae. The record is from RNAcentral.
AGUCGAUCAAGCCCUUGCAAGAUAGUAAUGCAUUUUUGCAUUCUAGGGUUACAAUGGCGACUAAUAAACAAGACGACCAUGCAGAUCUGAUAGAGAAGAGACCCACCCCGGUGACCUCCUACAGCCAUGGUCGAUGGCAGCCCCGGCAAGGAGUGGCUCACGGUCACAGGAGAGAAGGAUCUCCGUACCCUACAAAGCUCGCUGGAGACGGAUCCAUAGGAGCGCAACCAGCAGCUCAAGUAGUUUUACCCGUGCAACCAUCCUGCUAAUUCGCUGGACCUGAAGAAUACCGACGAGUCAACGGACACAGGACGUUCCUGCAGGCUCUGCUGCAGGAGCUACAUCAUCCACUCGCAUACUGUACAUUGUUUACUGAGACAACAUCAACAUGGAAUAUUUGUCUGUCAACUCAGUGAAGCACCAACGGAUCAAGGACAUUGAGGUUGAUAUUUGUAUUCUACUCGAAAAAGGUGACUAUAUUAAUUAAUUCUAAGCACCCCU